RNAcentral lists this non-coding RNA (123 nucleotides) under Clostridium niameyense. RNAcentral's name for it is "Moco (molybdenum cofactor) riboswitch". It matches the Rfam family "Molybdenum/Tungsten riboswitch aptamer (Moco RNA motif)". The record is from RNAcentral. Lineage: Bacteria; Bacillati; Bacillota; Clostridia; Eubacteriales; Clostridiaceae.
AAAUUGUUCUCCGAAUUAAUAUGCCUAAAGGAUUUCCCAGGGAAUAUUAGUCUGGAUUUUAUAUCCACAGGGUGUUCUUAGAAAUGAGGAUGCCUCCCGAAUUUGGAAAGGGGAAUAAGUACG